Cydia fagiglandana is the source of this 1252-nucleotide long non-coding RNA. RefSeq lists it as uncharacterized. The record is from RefSeq and is a predicted model, not a curated record. The transcript has 2 exons. NCBI's taxonomy places the organism in Eukaryota, Metazoa, Arthropoda, Insecta, Lepidoptera, Tortricidae.
CUAAAGCUAAGUUUCCUUUACCUAUAACAAUUGAUAACUUUAUUCGUUAGAAAGCGAUGGUUUUACAAGCUACAAGCUUGUUUGAUACGGCACCCUAGUAAUUCUAGGUUUUAAAUGGACGGGAGGUGGUAACUACUGAGAAUAACCCAACUGUCUUAGUCAUUACCUAAGUAUUUACCAAGUCCCAGUGUCGUGCCUUGUGUCGUUGUUACAAAUAGCUUGGCCACGAUCUAUUGUGUUAUCAUUUGUAAAAUGUAUAAUUCUAUGGUGAAUGUGCCGCACACGGGGCAGAGCGUCUACCAGUGGCGGAUUUGCCCUAACUUAAGGCCCAGUAGGCCCCGGGCCAAGCGCGGCAAAUUGUGACAAAAAAUUCGCUGAUGAUAACAAGAAAUAACUUAAAAUGUAGUCAAUAUGGUGGGCGCUGCGAAAGGGGCGGCUACAGGGCCUGAGGCUGGAGCUAGAUCCGCCACUGGCUUCUACCCUAGGUAAAGGUAAGUAAAACUACCCCGUAAACAAGUGAAGGAUAACGGUAAAGGCAUUAACCUCUAGCCGCCCAUACGUCAAACCUUGCCAAGCAAAAUGAAAUUUUAUUUUGUCAACACAAAGUUCAAAUUAGAAUGGAACAGGAGACCUUUUUAUAGGUCUCUGGGCGGCUAGAGGUGAAUCUAUCCCACCCUCUUGAAGCAUAUUCUAGCAGAGUAAAGGGGUAGGGAAGUGUGCCUGGCGCCGAACCUGCCCCGUGGGGGCACUUGCCCCGGCUGACCUCGCUAUCCUUGCUGUAAUUGUCAUAAGGAGCAGAUACUGGGCAAUUUUGAUUGCUUUAAAACACUGGUUUGCUGAGUUACAUAGACUAUCUGAGGUAAGGUAUCGUAAGUAGUUUCGCAAUGGCCUAAAGUGUACAAAAGAACGAAAUCCUAUUAAGUAUUAUUCUUUCCCGUGUGUACUUAUUUUUAUAUUUUCCUAGGGCCAUCAACUAUUUAAAAAUAUUACUAACCCUAUUAGAUAUGAAUUUCAGAUGUGUCGAAAGUAGUUUAUUUUUGUUAGUCUAAACAUAAAAAUAAAAUGACUUAUGGCUUGUAAAGUAUUUAGUUUGUGAUGAAGUAUGUAUAACAUAAACACUAUGUAACUAUAUUAAAACAUCUAAAAUGUGUAAAGAUACUAAGUAAAUUGGUGUGCGAUGCUAUGUACUAAAUUAUUCACGGUAUGUAACUGUUAAAUAUGUAAGUCUUAAAUAAAUACACGUAAAAUGCCA